RNAcentral lists this ribosomal RNA (385 nucleotides) under uncultured crenarchaeote. Its description in RNAcentral is "partial 16S ribosomal RNA". It matches the Rfam family "Archaeal small subunit ribosomal RNA", at positions 474 to 859 of the family's 1478-position model. The record is from RNAcentral. Lineage: Archaea; Thermoproteati; Thermoproteota.
UACCAGCACCCCGAGUGGUCGGGACGWUUAUUGGGCCUAAAGCAUCCGUAGCCGGUUCUACAAGUCUUCCGUUAAAUCCACCUGCUUAACAGAUGGGCUGCGGAAGAUACUAUARARCUAGGAGGCGGGAGAGGCAAGCGGUACUCRAUGGGUAGGGGUAAAAUCCGUUGAUCCAUUGAAGACCACCAGUGGCGAAGGCGGCUUGCCAGAAYGCGCUCGACGGUGAGGGAUGAAAGCUGGGGGAGCAAACCGGAUUAGAUACCCGGGUAGUCCCAGCUGUAAACGAUGCAGACUCGGUGAUGARUUGGCUUHUUGCUAAUUCAGUGCCGCAGGGAAGCCGUUAAGUYUGCCGCCUGGGGAGUACGGUCGCAAGACUGAAACUUAA